AUCGCAAGACCUUGCGCUUUUGGAGCGGCCGAUGUCUGAUUAGCUAGUUGGUGGGGUAAUGGCUUACCAAGGCUUCGAUCAGUAGCUGGUCUGAGAGGACGGCCAACCACACUGGGACUGAGACACGGCCCAGACUCCUACGGGAGGCAGCAGUGGGGGAUUUUGGACAAUGGGCGAAAGCCUGAUCCAGCCAUGCCGCGUGAGUGAAGAAGGCCUUCGGGUUGUAAAGCUCUUUUAGUCGGAAAGAAAGAGUUGCAAUGAAUAAUUGUGAUUUAUGACGGUACCGACAGAAAAAGCACCGGCUAACUACGUGCCAGCAGCCGCGGUAAUACGUAGGGUGCGAGCGUUAAUCGGAAUUGCUGGGCGUAAAGGGUGCGCAGGCGGUCUUGCAAGUCAGAUGUGAAAGCCCCGGGCUUAACCUGGGAAUUGCGUUUGAA
Molecule: ribosomal RNA, 437 nt
Filed under: uncultured beta proteobacterium
Lineage: Bacteria; Pseudomonadati; Pseudomonadota; Betaproteobacteria
Description: bacterial SSU rRNA
Rfam family: Bacterial small subunit ribosomal RNA
Source: RNAcentral